CGACCUAAUGAUAUCCGACAAAGGAUUAUAGCGGCGAUGAGGGAGAAAUUCAUAGCUAGCAUGUCAAAAAAAAUAUAAGCUCUCAUCAGAUAUUUUGAAGUACCACUGCUAAGAUCAGAACCUGAUCCAGGCACAGUGAUAGCACCAGCGAAGGUUACUCCAGCUACCAGUACUGCCACCACGAGAAGAUUCCCUACCCCUCUGUUCCGUUCCUCCGUCGUUAACGUCGUUCUUGGUGAAUCAAAGAUAAGAUUGAUGCCAAACUCAUUCUUAUCAUUUCCUCCACCAAAACUUUUAAUACCUCACGCUGAACAACAAAAUGUUAAUUAGAAAAUAUAUGGUAAACAAAUUAAUUAUAUAAAGCAUCAUGACAAUGUUAUCUUAAUAUCCCAUAAUAACGAAGAAGUAACUCAUCGCAAUAUAUUUAGUAGAUCAGCGAGGCAUUCCAUAUUUUUGAGCAAGUAAAGAACUUUAUUUCCACUUUGGAUUAAUCAAAUUUUAGGUAAUUAAAAGAAAUCUAUCAUUCCCUUUUCUAUAAAGUUGCAACAUGGACAGAAUGUGGAUGUGAAAGUUUUUGCUAGACUAGAAUGUAUUUACUUCAAUCACCUGAUUAGCUUCUUACGUGGACGAAACCCUCUGGUAUUGAUGAAUAUAAAAGAAUUAAAUGUGACUGAGGUUUUGAAAAUUAAAAAAUCUUUUUAAAUGAGUAUUGAUUGUUCCUAUAUAUGCAAUUACUAGAAGCUGGAUUGUGGAGUAUAAUGCCAUUACUAGAAGCUUAUUGGCAUAUGGAAAAAACUAGAGAGUAUUUAUGCUUCUAGACCCAUGACUAAUCGUUUUCUUUUGAAGUUAGAUUUGUACUCUUGAGGAUGGAUGAAGGAAUGGGUAUACACAAGAGUUAAAAGGUUGACAACACAAGUAGUCAAUAUUAGAAAAAACAAAAUUGGGGAAAAAGAGCGAAACCUCAUUCUACAAGCCAUUGGUGCAAACAAUACUAGUUAAAAGGAUAACUUUAGGUUUAAUCUUACUAGAUAGAAUAAAAGGUUUUGAAAGGUAACGAGGCAUUGGUGAUGGAAGGUAAUCUAGGAAAUAAAAUUAUGAUUGUCAUGGGAGGAACAUGGCAUAAAGAGGUAGAUUUGGUAUAAAAAACUCUAUUUGAGAUUCUAGAUCUAGAGUGGAAUACAAUAUUAAUAUUUUUAUUGUCAUUGCAAAAUACUAGUUAAAAGGAUAACUUUAGGUUUAAAUGAUACAACUAUAAUUUUAUUGGAGAAUGAUAGGUUUUGAAAAUAGAAAACAAUGUCAAAAGGUAACGAGGCAUUGGUUAUGGGAGGUGGUCCUGUAAUUUACCAUGAAAGAUGGGAGCAAAGUGUUGAAUAUUAAACUCAAUCCAGAAGCUCCCAGAAGGUCAAGGAAGACAACCAGCCACCAGCCACCAGUCGCCGACCAGCCGCCAGCCGCCUUCACACUUGAAGGUUGAAUUUUCUAGUUUUUGAUUUCGUGUAUAAAUAGAGUGCCUAGCUUCUGUUAAUGUGUGUGGAGAGAAUUGAGAGCAAACACUAGAAAGAGAAAUAGAGAGAGAGAGGGCAUGUACUGUUAAGCUUUUGUUAAUUAAUUGUAAGCUUGUGUUUUUGUAACAAAACUUUGUGUUUUAUCCCCUCUGAGUGUUUCAAAGUCACCACCAGUGGUUUCUCCCAUGCACCAACAAUUAGUAUCAGAGCCCCGUUCGUCAGAAAACAGAAGUGUUUUGGGGUACAUCCGAAUUUUCAAAGUUGUCAAAAACAAGUUUUGAUCAUUCCACAGUGAAGAGCUCAUCAAUACGAACUCACUGUCGCAAGAAUCAGCCUUAUCGGAGUCCGCGGUGAUCCACACGCGCCGCCUGAAGAUCCGGUGACUGUAUCCCAUGCGCAUCCACGCGCGCCAUAUUUGAGCCGCGCCGAGCCCGAGCCGCGCCGCAAGCCGAGCCGUCCUCCGCACCGAGAGAAUAUUCCCCAAAAUAUUCCCCGAAUAUUCCUGGUUCAACCUAGCGAACCGCCCGCCGUACAGAAUUGGUUUUUUGACCGGUUCACCCAUUUUCUGACCCGAAUUCAACAAAGUCAGACCGGUUCCCUGCUAUUUGGAUCAUUCCAGAUCGAUCUACAAUGUCCGUUUGGCCAAAUUCGGCUCCUAGAAAGGUGAUAUAAUCAUUCAAAGAGCAAAAUGACUACAGAAGAUACACAUACACUCAUUCCAAAGCUGACCAAAGACAACUAUGAUAGUUGGUGCAUCAGAUUGAAGGCAUUCCUUGGGUCACAAGAGUGUUUGGAUAUUGUACAAACUGGUUAUGAUGAAUCAGAGUCCAAAGAAAGAGAAGAUGUUUUAUAAGAGGCACAAAAGCAAGCUCUUAAAGUCAACAGAAAGAAAGACAACAAAGCAAAGACCAUCAUCUAUCAGGGUCUUGAUGAAGACACAUUCGAGAUCAUAGCUUCCGCUGAAACAUCACAUGAUAUAUGGAGGCUCUCCAACAGAAAUACAAAGGUGCUGACAGAAUUAAAAAAAUUCGUCUUCAAUCUUUGCGAGGUGAAUUUGAGUUAUUGCAAAUGAAGUCCUCGGAGUCUAUUUCUGAUUAUCGCACAAGGAUUAUGGUGAUAGUCAACCAGAUGAGGAGAAAUGGAGAAGCCAUCGUCGAUUCUCGAAUUACUGAGAAAAUUUUGAGAUCGCUAGAUCCAAAAUUCGAUUUUGUUGUUGUCGCAAUUGAAGAAUCUAAAGAAGUGGACAAGUUGACAGUUGAUGAACUUAUGAGUUCUUUGCAAGCUCAUGAGCAGAAAAUUGUAAAGGGAAAUGGAGAUAAGGCAAUUGAGCAUGCCUUACAAGCAAAGCUGUCUCUCAAGGACAAAUAUGAGCAAGGGGAGACUUCAACAAAUGGAUAUACCACUCAAGCAGGAAGUCAACAAUCCAGAGGAGGAUUCCAGAGAUUCCAAGGAAGAGGUUCUUGGAAUACAAGCUUUAGAGGAAGAGGUGGCAGAAACAUCAUUAGAGGAGAUCGAGGACAACAAGCAUUCAAUCCUAGAGGAAGAGGGGGCGAUUACAAUAACCAUGACAAGAGGAAUAUCCAAUGUUAUAGUUGCAAUCAAUUUGGGCACUAUAGCACUGAAUGCAGAAGGAAAGCUCUAUUGGAGAUACGUGAGCAAGCCAACUAUGCAGAGAAGGAUGACAGAGAAGAAGCUGCAUUUCUUGUCCAACAAGAACAAAAUUAAGAUAAGGAAAUGAAAUAUUAUAGUUUUACAAUAAUAUAAUUGUUUUUUGCAUUAUACUUACCUAAUUACAAUGUGGUUUUCCCACACAUUUCUUACAACCCCCUCAUUUUCCUUGUCCUGGUAAUUUUUUUUCCUUGUAGUCAAACAUUAGUUAUUUUUAAAAAAAUUUUAAAAACUAUAUAUUAACUCAAUGUAUAUAUUAUUUAUUUAACCAUUAACUUUUCCCAAAAACAUCUACUAUAAUCAUACAUUUAGAAUGAUCUUAAAGUUGACUCUAUUAAAACAAUGGUUUUUCAAAAACAAAUUUAAGAUUAAUUGUAUUAAAGAGAAAAACUAUAAAAAAAAAACACAAAAAGUGUACCUAAGAUGUACAUCAUCUUGUAACCCAAAUCAAAUUGACCUUAGACAAUAGGGAAAAAAACAAAAGCUAAAAAAAAUUAAAAAUUUCUGAAAACAAGACUGCUUGAAUAAUAGCAUAGAAAAUCAAUUCAUCAAAAUCAUUUAAUGUAAAACUUAAAAUAAUCUAUUACAAAUAAAUAACUUCAAUGGUAAGAGAAAAAACAUGACUUACAUUGUGUCGUUGGCUUUUUAUGUUGCAAUAAGUUUUCUUGAUACAGGGUCUCUAGAAGAAGGGAUUCUACCUUUUUUGUUUGUGAAAUUCAUUGUUGUAAAUGAGAUCAUUGCAUAAUUAGUUGGCAUCAAAGGACAUAAUAAUCUCUCUCUUUGUAUGAUUAAUAGAAAUGAUACUGUGAAUCUGUAAAUUAUGCCAAAAACGCUUUAUUCUGUUUCUAAAGGACUCGAGGCUAUUGCUCUAAGAGUUGAAGUGCCUAUGUUCAAAAUCAUUUUAAAAUUACCUGCAUUAUUGCAUUUUUGUUCCACUAGAAAUUGUUUCUGAUGUUUUUGACAUCUACAAAUACUGCAAGGUCCUAUCCUGGUACUACUACAUCUGCUUGGUGUGGCCUUGUUAAGUUAACUGGGUAUUUGCAUAAUGUUUCCAGGCUGAUGCUUUUGAAAGCCAGCGUGGACAAUGCAUUGAUAUCACCUGGAAAGUGAUAAUUUAUUUAAAUAAAACAGACUUUACCAAGGUGAUGGAAACAAUGCUAUACUGCCCUGACAAAUAAAUGUAUAAAUGACAUGCGAGAGUUAAACUGGUUUUGCUUACACCAUUGUGCAUAGAACUGCUUAUUUCCUUUUCUGAAGAAUGUUCUUUGUACGCUUAAUUGAACUAGUCUCUUUAAGUGUUCAAUGGUUCUCACCAACCAUUUGUCAAAGAAAUAAAGAAGUCUGUUAAUUUUAUUGGUUUGCCAUUCCAACAGGGGCUGGAUCCCCUUUAAAUUGUGCAUGCAACUUGUUAGCAAACCUCUUAUUUUGGUAGGCAGAGUUUAUCCGUGUUGUGACUUCAGAUAAUAACAAUGACUGAUUUGGUCAAUCUCUCAAAAAGUUUUCUGUAUUCCCGAGAGUAAUAAUCCUAAUCAUCAUUUUAGGUUAGUUGACAGAAUAUCUUUCUUGGUUAUUUCUUAGUUCAUAUGAACCAAACCUGCCUCAUUCCUCCCCUCAUGCGAGGUAGUUAAGUAGUGUAUGAGCCCUAGUACUGGUUUCAAGAUAUGACUUAUCACUGUGUAUAUGUCUGUAGUUAGUUUAGCUGAGAGUUCAAACAAGUGUUUAUGGUGUUAAACGUUUUUCAAUCAUAAAUUGUUUUGCAGAUAUAAUUGAUGAAUUGGUGAAGAAUGGGAAAGAGAUAAGGCUGUAUAUUUUGCUUCUGAAUCUGGUUUGACGAAAAGAUUUUCUCCUGUAUCUCUACUCAAGUCAUAUCUUAAGAAUUCCAAGAAGAUCACAACUACUGUCUUGAAGAAUGGCAAUUAUAGUGUAGCUGCAACGGUGUGUCUAAUCUCUAUCUACAUUGUGUAAUUCUAAUGACAUGAAAUAUUUGAGUCUUAUUAAUUUUUUUGCAGGAUGAGUCAAGUACCUUGGAGUUGAAUUCUAUUAAAGCAAUCAUCAAAUGUGUGGAAGAUCAUAAGCUUGAAUCAGAAUUUUCCCUUGACAGCUUGAGAAAACGGGCUUCUCUGCUUGAAAAAACCAAAGCAGAGAGGAAGAGGGGUACAUCAUCAGCUGCCACUGCUACCAAGUCUCAAAACAAGCGAGGCCAUGGUUCAAGUGGUGGCCGGGACAGUGGACCUACUCCUUAUCGUCAAGCCAAAGCUGCCAAAUUUUCAAACAAUUAUUCCUCUUUCAGCCGCAGGAAUGCUCCUCUCCCUGCACAGCAUAGCCCGGCUAGAAGAUAUUCAGGGCCAUUCCACUACCCUAGCCAGAGUGUCUACGAGGGCCCCGCAGCAGCCCCGUAUGCAUCAACUUAUGGUAUCUCGCACGCUCAAAGCCCUUCUGCAAUCUCUCAACAACCCUACCAUCACUCUCAAAGCCCCAGUGCAAUUCCUCAACAACUCUACUCACAGCCAGCGGAGAACAUGAGUGCUGCCGGUUUCCGUGCCAGUGGUUCUUAUGGAAGCCAGACCGGGUUACGGGGCAUAUGAUUACGGCUCUGCUGCACCCGUUACUUACCAACCUUCAUCCUACACUCAAUAAGAUGGGAGGAACCUAGCCAGGUGUUAAGAUUCUUAUUUUUAUUUGGUGUCUGAUUUCUGGAUGUGGCCCUCUAAUUUUGGGACCCGCCCCCUUCAUCUCCCUUUCCCGUAUAAAAGUUUUUUUUUGGUCUUAUCUCAUGACUGGAUAUGAUGCCCAUGCCUGUAACGCUGAUUACCUUUAUAUGGAGCUCAAGCUGGAUGUGAUUUCCGUGCUGUGAGUUUUAAAUGGUUUGGCUAUCGAGCAUUGUGAUUACUCUCAUGAUUGGAGUCGCCAUUGGGCGCCUAUGCUUGUUUUUUUGCUAAAUUUUGGCAUGCCUAAUAGACUAAUUUGUUAAAUCACAACAAUUUAGUAAUCAUGCUAAAAAUCCAAUUUAGUAAGAACAUGGCUAUGAUGGGUAACAAUUAGCUAGCCCUUGUAAUUGAUAGACGUCAUUCUUUUGGCCACGAGAGGUCUGAAAAUAACUCACAAACAUUCAGACCAAUGGAGAAGCUUGUAUUACAUGUUCUAUAAAAUGGUUAUUCAUCAUCUAAUUCUUUAUAUAAACAAAUAACUACACAUGAAUAGAACAAUAAUGUUCCCUUAUAGUUUAUAAUAUUGCCACCUUUGUGAGUAUCAUUACCUUUGUGAAUAUCAUUUUGCCUCUACCAUCACAACCUCACAGUUAAUUUUUUUUUUCAUCAUUCAAUUUUUUUUUAAAAUUAGUCUUAUAAUUUGUUUUUUCAAUUCAGCUAUCCCCGAUUUCAUUACCAGAACUACAUGUUUGAUGAAUUUUUUUUGGGUCGCUGUUUUUUUAUUUAAAAUUUUAUUAGUUUCAUCCUUGAACAUUUGGUUCCUUUAGAAUUGAUUAUUGUAAUCAUUCUAAAGACAUGCAUAAAUUGUUUUAAGGCCUUAAAGUGCAUCUUCAUUCAUCUCAGAAACUGAAAAAAUAAAAAAAAAUCAAAUAAAAGAAACCUAAUUAUUUUUCCUGGCCUUGAUCUCUUUUUCUUUGUCCUUCUAGGGUGGUGUAAUCACCAUCAACAAAAUGGCCUUUUAAGGAAGAAGGGGACACUGGACACCAUUAUAGCAGGUUGCAAUGUCAGGAUCUAGAGGAAAGUUUCUCUCCUCGCCUAUCUCUCCUCGGUCCUGUCUCCGAUCUUUACAUACAGGGACUGAAUUUUAAAAAUAGUGUGUUUGUUUUUUAAAUAGGUUUUGUGGUUUUGAUUUUAAAAAAAUAAAUUUAAAAAAAGUGUGGUUAACUAUGAUUAGUUAAAUUUAAAUACGUGUUUAGUAAAAAUUAUAGUUGAAGUUUAUGUGUAACAAAAAUAAUGUAUAAAAUAUUUGGUGGAAGUAUAGUUGCCGUUGUUUUUUAAAGUGUUUUUUACUUGGAAAUGUAUCAAAAUAAUUUUUUUAAAAAAAUUAUUUUUGAUAUCAGCAUUGAUUUGAAAACAAAAAAAAUAUAUCAAUUUGAAGCAAAGAAAAAAAUAAAAAAAUUUAUUUUUUUCAAAAGCGCUUUUGAAACAUAAAAAUAAAUAGGGUUUUAUGAAACUCAAUUAAAAAAUCAUGUAAAAACUACUACAUAAAAAUUACGUUUCAAACUCAACUUUUUAGUAAGUCCCGCAUUACAAACCAAAGUUUAGUUUGUUAAUUACCAAACACUUUGCCAUGUUUGUUUCACCACAAACAAAAAACCAGUGAAGAAAUCCUAAAUAUCUAAAUAAUUUAUACAUGUUUUUUACUACACAUAACCUUUAACUAUAAUUUUUAUUAAACACAUAUUUAAAUUCAAUUAAUUACAAUUGACUCUAUUUAAAAAAAAAAACUUAUUUUUUUAAAUUAAAAUCUCAAAAACUAUCUAAAAAAUAAAGAAACGAGUGAGGAUGUUGAUGAUGCCAAGCAAGUCAGUGUAAAGUGGAAAUCUUGACAAGAUGUUGUAGCCUUCAUAAAAAGUACAAUGCAGUACAAAACGAGAGGUGAAUGUUUGAGAUUGUUAUAAUUUUUAAUUUUAUAUGAUUUUUAAAAGUAUAUUUUAUUUUAAAAAUAUAUUAAAUUAAUAUUUUUUUAAUAAUUUUUUCUAAAACAUAUUUUUCUAAAACAUAUUUUUAAAAAUAAUUUCCAUCACAACACUAAAAACAUAUAAAUAUUUAUCAUAGUAACAAGAAGUGAUAAUAUUUGAUGUAAAAACGGCUGAAUGUAUAUGUCAUGUUUCGAGAAGCGUCCAUGAUUAUAUCAUUAUGAUCCCAAAAAGAAAAAUAUUAAAUAUUAGGCUACAAUUAUUUAUAUACAGUUUUAAAACCUGGACCGGCCCGGCAGGUCAACUCGGGCCGAGACCGGUCCAGGUAGAGGCAAAAAUCUACUUGGAAAUUGACUCGGUAAAACCCGGUCGAUCUGCCGGGUUGACCCCGUGACCUGGACCACCCGGUCAAACCCGGCUGACACAUGAUCUCUCUUUCUCUCUUUCUCUAUAUAUAUAUAUAGACGUUAAACGACGUCGUUUUGGCCUUAAAAGGCCAAAACGAUGAACAAUGACGAAGCAGAAUUGGGGACACAUUGAUUACAGAGCAAACCCAAUUAACGAAAGAUUCCAUCACAGCCAAUGCAACUACAGUCUGGUCUAUAAGCUUUUGGCUUUCUUCUUUGCUCUUGCCAAUUAGGAUUUUUGCGUUUCGAGUGAUCGAUUUGCCCAUCAAAGUUGAAGUGAAGGGAGUGAGUUGGUUACAGAGAGAACUCCAUUCUAGGAUUUUAAGGGUUUUGAGUUGGAGUGAGCGAGCUGGAGGAGUGAGUUUCGGUGAGUGUGAAUCAAAGGGUUUUGUUAGGGCUUUGGUGGAGAAGGGUGGUUUGGUGGUGAAGAAGAGAAUCGGGGAUUUUUUAAUGGCUAUUAAAUGAUUGGAGAGUUUGAUUAAUGAAGGAUUUUUGAGGGAGAGAAGGAAAGGGAUGGGCUGUUUGACAACAACUUAUCCUUUUUAUUUUCAGCUUAUCUUUUAUUUUAGGUUGACUUGUUUUUAGGUUGACUCGUGUCAAUCAAUCUAACUCGUGAUUCGAUCACUUGACUAGAUUGAUAUCCGGAUCGAUUUUUAAAAUUAUGAUUUCUAUAAUUAGGUUACAUUUCGUUAUAGUCAUGUAUUUGAAAAAAUAUUUAGUUAAUAAAUAUAUAUAUAUAUAUAUAUAUAUAUAUAUGUUUUACUAAAAAUUAUUUUAAAAUUUUAAUUAAAAUAUAAUAUAUUUUAUAACUUUUUUUAAAAUGUAUUUUUUAAAAUCACAUAUCUAUCACAAAGAAAGAUCUUUUCAUACAUCCCAACUUUAGGCUAGAAGAUAUUCAGGGCCAUUCCACUACCCUAGCCAGAGUGUCUACGAGGGCCCCGCAGCAGCCCCGUAUGCAUCAACUUAUGGUAUCUCGCACGCUCAAAGCCCUUCUGCAAUCUCUCAACAACCCUACCAUCACUCUCAAAGCCCCAGUGCAAUUCCUCAACAACUCACUCACAGCCAGCGGAGACAUGAGUGCUGCCGGUUUCCGUGCCAGUGGUUCUUAUGGAAGCCAGACCGGUUACGGGGCAUAUGAUUACGGCUCUGCUGCACCCGUUACUUACCAACCUUCAUCCUACACUCAAUAAGAUGGGAGGAACCUAGCCAGGUGUUAAGAUUCUUAUUUUAUUUGGUGUCUGAUUUCUGGAUGUGGCCCUCUAAUUUUGGGACCCGCCCCCUUCAUCUCCCUUUCCCGUAUAAAAGUUUUUUUUUGGUCUUAUCUCAUGACUGGAUAUGAUGCCCAUGCCUGUAACGCUGAUUACCUUUAUAUGGAGCUCAAGCUGGAUGUGAUUUCCGUGCUGUGAGUUUUAAAUGGUUUGGCUAUCGAGCAUUGUGAUUACUCUCAUGAUUGGAGUCGCCAUUGGGCGCCUAUGCUUGUUUUUUUGCUAAAUUUUGGCAUGCCUAAUAGACUAAUUUGUUAAAUCACAACAAUUUAGUAAUCAUGCUAAAAAUCCAAUUUAGUAAGAACAUGGCUAUGAUGGGUAACAAUUAGCUAGCCCUUGUAAUUGAUAGACGUCAUUCUUUUGGCCACGAGAGGUCUGAAAAUAACUCACAAACAUUCAGACCAAUGGAGAAGCUUGUAUUACAUGUUCUAUAAAAUGGUUAUUCAUCAUCUAAUUCUUUAUAUAAACAAAUAACUACACAUGAAUAGAACAAUAAUGUUCCCUUAUAGUUUAUAAUAUUGCCACCUUUGUGAGUAUCAUUACCUUUGUGAAUAUCAUUUUGCCUCUACCAUCACAACCUCACAGUUAAUUUUUUUUUUCAUCAUUCAAUUUUUUUUUAAAAUUAGUCUUUAUAAUUUUGUUUUUCAAUUCAGCUAUCCCGAUUUCAUUACCAGAACUACAUGUUUGAUGAAUUUUUUUUUGGGUCGCUGUUUUUUUUAUUUAAAAUUUUAUUAGUUUCAUCCUUGAACAUUUGGUUCCUUUAGAAUUGAUUAUUGUAAUCAUUCUAAAGACAUGCAUAAAUUGUUUUAAGGCCUUAAAGUGCAUCUUCAUUCAUCUCAGAAACUGAAAAAAUAAAAAAAAAUCAAAUAAAAGAAACCUAAUUAUUUUUCCUGGCCUUGAUCUCUUUUUCUUUGUCCUUCUAGGGUGGUGUAAUCACCAUCAACAAAAUGGCCUUUUAAGGAAGAAGGGGACACUGGACACCAUUAUAGCAGGUUGCAAUGUCAGGAUCUAGAGGAAAGUUUCUCUCCUCGCCUAUCUCUCCUCGGUCCUGUCUCCGAUCUUUACAUACAGGGACUGAAUUUUAAAAAUAGUGUGUUUGUUUUUUAAAUAGGUUUUGUGGUUUUGAUUUAAAAAAAUAAGUUUAGAAAAAGGUGUGGUUAACUAUGAUUAGUUAAAUUUAAAUACAUGUUUAGUAAAAAUUAUAGUUGAAGUUUAUGUGUAACAAAAAUAAUAUAUAAAAUAUUUGGUGGAAGUGUUGGUUGUUUGUUUUUUACUUGGAAAUACAUCAAAAUAAUUUUUUUUUAAUUAUUUUUUAUAUCAGCAUUGAUUUGAAAACAAAAAAUAUAUCAAUUUGAAGCAAGGAAAAAAAUAAAAAAAUUUAUUUUUUUCAAAAGCGUUUUGAAACGUAAAAAUAAAUAGGGUUUUAUGAACUCAAUUAAAAAAUCAUGUAAAAAUACUACAUAAAAAUUGCGUUUCAAACUCAAUUUUUUAUAAGUCCCGCAUUACAAACCAAGUUUGGUUUGUUAAUUACCAAACACUUUGCCAUGUUUGUUUCACCGCAAACAAAAAACCAGUGAAAAAAUCUAAAUAUCUAAAUAAUUUAUACAUGUUUUUUACUACACAUAAAAUUUAACUAUAAUUUUUAUUAAAUACAUAUUUAAAUUCAAUUAAUUACAAUUGACUCUAUUUAAAAAAAACUUAUUUUUUUAAAUUAAAAUCUCAAAAACUAUCUAAAAAAUAAAGAAACGAGUGAGGAUGUUGAUGAUGCCAAGCAAGUCAGUGUAAAGUGGAAAUCUUGACAAGAUGUUGUAGUCUUCAUAAAAAGUACAAUGCAGUACAAAACGAGAGGUGAAUGUUUGAGAUUGUUAUAAUUUUUAAUUUUAUAUGAUUUUUAAAAGUAUAUUUUAUUUUAAAAAUAUAUUAAAUUAAUAUUUUUUUAAUAAUUUUUUAUAAAACAUAUUUUUAAAAAUAAUUUCCAUCACAACACUAAAAACAUAUAAAUAUUUAUCAUAGUAACAAGAAGUGAUAAUAUUUGAUGUAAAAACGGCUGAAUGUAUAUGUCAUGUUUCGAGAAGCGUCCAUGAUUAUAUCAUUAUGAUCCCAAAAAGAAAAAUAUUAAAUAUUAGGCUACAAUAUUUAUCAUAAUUUUAAAACUCGGACCGGCCCGCAGGUCGACUCGGGUCUGGAACCGGUCCAAGUGGAGGCAAAAAUCCACUUGGAAAUUGACUCGGUGAAACCUGGUCGAUCUGCGGGUCGACCCGUGACCCGGAUCACCCGGUCAAACCCGGCUGACACUUGACUCUCUCUCUUAUAUAUAUAUAUAUAUAUAGACGUUAAAAGACCGUUUUGGCCUUUUAAAAGGCCAAAACGAUUAACAAUGACGAAGCAGAAUUGGGACACAUUGAUUACAGAGCAAACCCAAAUAACGAAAGAUUCCAUCACAGCCAAUGCAACUACAGUCUGGUCUAUAAGCUUUUGGCUUUCUUCUUUGCUCUUGCCAAUUAGGAUUUUUGCGUUUCGAGUGAUCGAUUUGCCCAUCAAAGUUGAAGUGAAGGGAGUGAGUUGGUUACAGAGAGAACUCCAUUCUAGGAUUUUAAGGGUUUUGAGUUGGAGUGAGCGAGCUGGAGGAGUGAGUUUCGGUGAGUGUGAAUCAAAGGGUUUUGUUAGGGCUUUGGUGGAGAAGGGUGGUUUGGUGGUGAAGAAGAGAAUCGGGGAUUUUUUAAUGGAUAAAUGAUUGGAGAGUUUCAUUAAUGAAGGAUUUUUGAGGGAGAGAAGGAAAGGGAUGGCUGUUUGGACUUAUCCUUAUUUCAGCUUAUUUUUUUUUUAGAGUUUAUGCCGUGUCAAUCAUCUGACUCGUGAUCCGAUCACUUGACUAGAUUGAUAUCCGGAUCGGGUUUCAAAACUAUGAUUUCUAUAAUUAGGUUACAUUUCGUUAUAGUCAUGUAUUUGAAAAAUAUUUAGUAUUAUAUAUAUAUAUAUAUAUAUAUAUAUAUGUUUUACUAAAAAUUAUUUUAAAAUUUUAAUUAAAAUAUAAUAUAUUUUAUAACUUUUUUUAAAAUGUAUUUUUUAAAAUCACAUAUCUAUCACAAAGAAAGAUCUUUUCAUACAUCCCAACUUUAGGCUAGAAGAUAUUCAGGGCCAUUCCACUACCCUAGCCAGAGUGUCUACGAGGGCCCCGCAGCAGCCCCGUAUGCAUCAACUUAUGGUAUCUCGCACGCUCAAAGCCCUUCUGCAAUCUCUCAACAACCCUACCAUCACUCUCAAAGCCCCAGUGCAAUUCCUCAACAACUCUACUCACAGCCAGCGGAGAACAUGAGUGCUGCCGGUUUCCGUGCCAGUGGUUCUUAUGGAAGCCAGACCGGUUACGGGGCAUAUGAUUACGGCUCUGCUGCACCCGUUACUUACCAACCUUCAUCCUACACUCAAUAAGAUGGGAGAAACCUAGCCAGAUGUUAAGAUGAAGACAAAGAUCUGGUGCUCGAUUGAUGUUCAAUUUUAUCAAAUUAUGUUUAAAUUAAGUUGAUUUAAAGCAAUUAGGCCUUAAGGAAUCAAAUUUGAUUAUGAAACAAAUAUGGGAGACUGAAAUUAAUGGGUAUAGUUAAAAAGACACAGUAGCUGUGGCAGCGUAUGCAAUCUUUUCUAGCGGCCAACUCACCCUUCCAUGGUAGCGAUCGAUGCAUCUUAGAAUUCUUUUUCUGCAAUGGUAACACAUGUGUCGCCUAAUUUUUGGUUAUUUUUAUUUUAAUUAUUUUAUUUACCGAAAAGGAUAAAAUGAUGAUAAAAAAAAUAAUAAUGAUGAAAAACAAGUAAAAUAAAGAAUAAAUUAAAAUUUAGGUUAAGGACAACAUGAUGGAAAGUUUUGGGGUUUAAUUAAACUUUGGAAUUAAUCUAAUUAAUCCAAUCAAGGGCUUAAUUGGAGAAUUGAUAAGUUUUAAGACUUAAUUGAGCUUGAAAUUAAUUUAAUUAAUCCAAUCAAUGUUUUAAUUGGAGAAUUGAUAAGUUUUUGGACUUAAUUGAGCUUGGAAUUAAUUUAAUGAAUGAAAUCAAGGACGUAAUUGAAGAAAUAUCAAAGUUUGGGGUUAAUUGGGGUACAAUUUGCAAGAAAUGAAAACGCAAGGACCAAUGUGUAAAUUGCAAUGAGAUGCAGGGGUUCAAUUAAAAUUUACCCAACGACUGGACUGCUAAAAUUCAAAAUGACAAGGAUCAAAAUGCAAUUAGCCAUGUCCAUCAACACUAUUCAUCUUUUCCUUCACUCGCCCGAACAAAAACGGAUGCAUCGCCAUUACUCCUGCAAUAACAGUCAAUUUAUUACCUGGUAACGGUGGCAUUCUGUGGCUAUAAAGCCAGAGAGAACAAAGGGGCUAGAGAAGGGGGAACCGAAAAGCCACUGGUGAUCAUAGAACCGAAAAGCCACUGGUGAUCAUAGAACCGUGAGCAGCAGUGGAAGAUCUUCAUCCCCAGCAGCUUCCUCCAUUUCAAGCAGCUCCUCGCCACGGUUAGUCUCCACCCCAACACCAGAUACUCCAAGAUCAGCCACCGUGGGUAGUGUUGCCACCAAUCACCUCACACAGCAUCGUGAACUCCAACAGCAAGGCAACUGUCAGCAGCCUUGCAACAACCAGCAUCUCCCUUCUGCACCGUGAGCUUCAAUCACUCCACCAGCAUCACUAGUUCCAUCGUGACUAGCAUCACCAGCAGCUUAUCUCAGCAAAUCAGUAGCUCAUCACGGUGGCGACUGAUUUUUGAAGAGAGGCUGAAGCGUUCCUCAGCAACUCUUCUAGACAGGGAGGAGAAGAACCCCCAUCUCUUUUGUUCAGACCUCCAUCACCAUCAACCAUCGCCUUUCAUCUUCCAACAAAUAGCGUAAGCAGCAGCACAGGAAGGGAGGACUAGAGAAGACGCAGAACAACAGAAACAGAGGGGGAAACAGUAGCAGUCGGGCAAGCCUCCGUCACCAUCGACAUCGUCUUCGCCUUCACCUCGCAGCUGCGCCACCCCAGCAGCUCUUCCUCACCGUGACAUCCAGCAGUCUUCCCUUGAAGCAGCCGUCUCCCUCAGCCUUGCCAGGUAAGUUCUUCAGCUUUCCUUCUUUUGGUAAAUUAAUUACCUGUUACUGUUGCAUGCAUGCGUGAGUGAUUCACGCAUGCAUGCAACAGUGGCAGCCGGGUCACUGGUUUGGACCAGUGACCCGAACUUUUUUUUUUUUUUUUACCAUGCAACAUCAAUAAACAGAAAAAUAAAAAAAAUAGAAAAAAUAAAAAAUGUGUAUGCAUGAAUAAAAAUAAUGUAAAUUUAUUGGUUUAUUCACUGAAACCAGAGUCAGGAAUAAAAAUACCGGUUUAAAUAUAUAUUAUUUUUAUUCGUUGUAUUUUUAUUUUAUUUAGCUAGAAAAAUAACAAAUAUGUGCAUGAAUAAAAAUAAAUUUAUUUUUAUUUAUUUAUUCACUGGCACUAAAAUAGGGAAUAAAAAAAUAUUGAUUUUUUUUUUCAUAGCUAUGAAUUUUUACCAACGCCAGAGUUGGAAUUAUUCGAGCUCGAAUAUUCACUGGCGUCAGAGUCAGGAAUAUUAUAAAACAAAUCAUCAUAGCAUAAACUAAUAAAUAUUUAGCAAUUUAAGACAUAAACCAGCAAUGCAGUCUGUCUUAGGCAGAACGUUUAAAGGGUGAUAAUAUCUUCCCUUUUAAGUAACUAAUCCCGAGCCAUAGAAUCUCUGUUGACCAGUUAGGGUUCCUAGUAACCAUAAUACUAGGUGACGACUCCUUAAACAAGAUAUUUUCUUUAAAAGAACCGGAUGCCAGAAAUCUGUUCUUUUUCCAUAAUUCAAGAGAAUUAUUUUGAGGGCCGAUGCGAUGUCGGGUGCGACAACAUGUAUUCUUAUUCUUAGUGUUGUGUUGUUGGUGUUAUUUAUUUUAUUUUUUUCCAUAUUUUCCCUCUUUUCUCUUUAAAAUUCAUGAUAGCCAUUUCAAAGUUCAUAGUUGUCUCCUUAUUUUAGUAUUAUUUCAAAUGCAAUCCUUUUUUUAUUACUAAGUUUUUGUUCUAGAUCUUUUUCUAAAAUGUAAAAUUAUUUUCAAUUUUAUCAUUCAAUAAAAAAUUAUAAGUUGUCCUUUCAAUUCAUUUUUAAAAUUUGGUCCAUAUUUUUUUAAUUCCUAUUUUUAGUUUUUGAUCCUAUAGUGAAAUUAAAUUUUCCUUCCAUUUUCAUCAUCUAAUUUGUUUUUAUUUCUAAUUCUAUUCUUAUUCUUUUGGUUUUUUUUUAGAGCCUUUUGUAAAAUUAAAUUUUUUAAAUUAAUUUUUCAGCAUGAGGUUAUUUAAGAAUUGGAUUCCAUGUGUUUUUAUUGAUGGGAUGAUUCAUGACAUGGACCAAGUCAUAUAUUUAAAAAAUUGACCCGGGUUAACAUUGUUCUUUUAUUUAUUGAGUUUUAUUUUUUUUAUACACGUUUUAUUUUUUAUUUUCAUCCUUUAAUUUUUUUUUAAUUGAGCUUUAUGAUUUUUUUUUUAAUUUUCUUUCAAUCAUGUUAUCCUUAUUCAUCUCAGAAACUGAAAAAAAAAAAAAUAAAUGAAACCUAAUUAUUUUUCGUGGCCUUGAUCUCUUUUUCUUUGUCUUUCUAGGGUGCUGUAAUCACCAUCAACAAAGUGGCCUUUUAAGGAAGAAGUGGCUCAAAUUGUUUCUAUAGUUGGGUUACAUUUUAAUAUAGUCAUGUAUUUGAAAAAGUAUUUAGUUAAUUAAUAUUUAUUACAUAUAUAUAUAUAUACACACACAUUACUAAAAAUUAUUUUAAAAUUUUAAUUAAAAUAUAAUAUAAUUUAUAAAUCCCAACUUUCGCAAGAAUAGUAAUCAUGAGUCCUGACAUGUCCUCUUCCUUGUUGAAUUCUACGGGCUUCGAAUGUCAUGUUCAUGCCGAUUUACUAGGGUAUUUCUUUAUGCAUGCAUGCAAAAUAAUAUAAUAAUUAAUUAUUAGUUGAUAGAGGCUGAUAAAUAAAUAAAAAUAUAUAGUUUAUUGAGUUUCCAAAACAAAAUAAUCGCAUCAUGCAUGUGGUCUUCAACCAAAUCUACUACUGUUUGCAAAAAUAGUGUUCAUGUAGAUUAAUAAGGCCAUGUUUGUUUCUCGGAAAGUAGUUUUUAGAAAAUUAUUUUCCAAACUUUCUUGUGUUUGUUUGUCAUUAGAAAAGUUGGUCAACGGAAAACACUUUCCAGUAAAAAAAAAAUUUUAACUUGGUUUUCAGGAAAGUAUUUUCCUUUUAGAUGUGCUUGUUUUCUGGAAAGUGGUUUCCGAGAAAUUACUUUCCAAACUUUCUUGUGUUUGUUUGCCAGUAGAAAAGUUGGUCAAUGAAAAAUACUUUCCAGUAAAAGGAAAAUUUGGCUUGGUUUUCAGAAAAGUGUUUUCCUGAAAAAUUUAAGGGGAAAACACUUUCCGGAAGUUGUGAAAAAUUUAGAAAUGUCAUUAUUUUCUGAUUAUAUCAAAUUUGAUCCUCAAACUUUUGAUUGCUAUAUAUAUUUUGUUUUGAAUAUUUAUUUUUCAAUUUCAUCUCUUAAAAUGUUAUUUUUAUAUUAGCGUUGGUCCUUAUUUUUAUAGUUGCUAUUUGCUUUUUCCUUAUUAUUUUUUUAUUGAAAUUUUUUAUUUAUCAAAUUUGAUCCUCAUUCUUUUUAUUGUUACUUAUUUUAUUUGAAAUAAUUUAUGAAAUGUUGAUUAUUAUUAUUUUAAUUUCUUCAUUUUUUUUUUUUAGAUUUGAUCCCUAUUAUUUUGAUUAUUAUUUAUUUUAUUUGAGAUAAUUUAUGAAAUUAUAUUUUUUUUUUCAAUUUCAUUCUCAUUCAACUUUUUAAUUUGUAAGAUUUGUUCCUCAUUAUUUUAAUAAACUUGAGAAAAAUAAAAUAUUAAUAAGUUAUUUUCUAGCUCAUUUUCCAUGACAUAACCAAACACUGGAAAGUGUUUUCCAACUCAUUUUCCAUUACACUACCAAACAUCGGAAAAUACUUUAUCGGAAUUCACUUUCUCCGGAAUUCACUUUUCAAAAGGAAAACUUUCCAGCAAACAAACGGAGCCUAAGUACUAUUUAUUGAAACAAAGUAAUGAUAUUUUGCUUUUCUUGUAAAAGAAUUUGAACAAGUUAUUUAAGAUAGUUUCACAAGUUUCAUUUGUUAUUAUCGGGUCAAAUUAAUAAGUGUUUUUGCAUUUUAAAAUUAUAGUGAAAUAAUUAAAAUAUUCUUAUAUGUAAAAAAUUAUAAAUUGAUGUCCAAGAACUUUUUAGUAUUUUCACAUUAGUUUUUUCGUUAUUAUUAGGUUAGUUGAAGGAAAAUUUGGUAUUUUAAUAAAUAUAAAAUAUUAUUUAAAAACAAAAAACGGCUAGCCUAUGUAAUGCUUGUGCUAGCGUAUGGGUGGUGCUAGCUCCAUUCGGGUGGCAUCUCUCGACGACCGAACACUAGCUUUUGCCAUGUUAUUAAUUGAAAGCAUUGCAAUAUAAUCUUCCUUUAAGAACGGCACGUUGUGUUAUUGGGGUGGUUAUGUGAUGUUGGUGACCUUUUUUUCUUCUCAUCCCACUUUAGUCUUUCCUCCUUUUAAAAAUCAUGUUGGUCAUGUGAAAUUUUAAAGUUGUCCUUUAAUUUAUUGAGAUGUCAAAUUCAUUAUUAUUUUUUUUGAUAUUUUUUUUUUUGUUCUUGGUUAUUUUGUGAAAUUUUUAGUUAUUUUUAAUUUUAUCCUUCAAUCUCAAUUUGUGAUACAUUAUAUUUUUUUCAAUUUAGUCCUUAUUCUUUUGAUAUUUUUAUUUUUUGAGUCCUUUUAUAAAAUUGAAUUUUCUUUUCAAUUUCAUCCUUCAAUUAAAAAUAAAAUUUAUUUUUUAUUUUAAUUUUAAUUUGCAUUCCUUCAAGUACCCUUUUUUUUAAUCUCUCUGUAUAAUUGAUUUUUCUUUUUUUCAUUUUUAAAUUUUAUCAAAAACGCACGCGAUUCGUUGUUGUCAAACUAUCUAGUGCUAAGAAUUCGAAAGUCAAGUACCCUGCAAUAUGAAAGAACUCUGAAAACACACACCAGAGACAUGCAUGUUCUGCUUUAUAUAUAACCAAAGUCGUUACAAGAAAGAAGAGAAAGUGCUUAUCUAUUUGUUACAAGAGAUACAAAUUACAUGAGAUUUAAAUACAAGAUAAAAUGCCCUCCCGUUUGCAAGCUAUCCAGUUUGAACUGGAUGUGAUCCUAUUCUCUACCCAUAAAAAUAAUACUGAAUUUAAAGGGAUUUGCAGUCAGGACAGACAAUAAUGAUUUUCCAGCUGCAAGCAUCAAUCUAUAGGAAAAACCUAAUUGAUAAUAAUAAAAAAAGGCUUGGAAUGUGAUGAUGGUUAGGAAAAAUCCAGUACGUUCGUGCACCGUGAUUGUCAGCAUGAAUGUAAAUGCUAAACCCAUGCAGAAAAGGGAGUAGAAAUUAAAAUAUGUCGCCAUCUCCAUGCAUAUUGUUACAUAAUUGGUACCACCUAAUGAUAUCUGACAAAGGAUUAUAGCGGCGAUGAGGGAGAGAUUCAUAGCUAGCAUGUCGAAAAAAACAUAAGCUCUCAUCAGAUUUUUUGAACUACCACUGCUAAGAUCACGACCUGAUCCAGGCACAGUGAUAGCACCAGCGAAGGUUACUCCAACUACCAGUACUGCCACCACGAGAAGAUUCCCUACCCCUCUGUUCAGUUGCUCCGUCGUUAACGUCGUUCUUG
Molecule: long non-coding RNA, 19156 nt
Filed under: Populus tremula
Lineage: Eukaryota; Viridiplantae; Streptophyta; Magnoliopsida; Malpighiales; Salicaceae
Description: long non-coding RNA (PTRE_LNC001526)
Source: RNAcentral